UGGGGAAUAUUGCACAGUGGGGGAAACCCUGAUGCAGCGACGCCGCGUGAACGAAGAAGGUAUUCGUAUCGUAAAGUUCUGUCCUAUGGGAAGAUAAUGACAGUACCAUAGAAGAAAGCUCCGGCUAAAUACGUGCCAGCAGCCGCGGUAAUACGUAUGGAGCGAGCGUUGUCCGGAAUUAUUGGGCGUAAAGGGUACGCAGGCGGUUUAAUAAGUCGAAUGUUAAAGAUCGGGGCUCAACCCCGCAAAGCAUUGGAAACUGAUAAACUUGAGUAGUGGAGAGGAAAGUGGAAUUCCUAGUGUAGUGGUGAAUUACGUAGAUAUUAGGAGGAAUACCAGUAGCGAAGGCGACUUUCUGGACACAAACUGACGCUGAGGUACGAAAGCGUGGCGAGCAAACAGG
This 403-nucleotide ribosomal RNA is filed under the name bacterium. RNAcentral's name for it is "partial 16S ribosomal RNA". It matches the Rfam family "Bacterial small subunit ribosomal RNA", at positions 355 to 776 of the family's 1533-position model. The record is from RNAcentral.